UAAGAGUUAGUUUAAUUAAAGAAUUGUUGACUGUUAAUCAAAAGGUAUACCUCUUAA
RNAcentral lists this transfer RNA (57 nucleotides) under Caenorhabditis briggsae. RNAcentral describes it as "tRNA-Asn". The record is from RNAcentral. RNAcentral also lists the same sequence under 4 other names. Lineage: Eukaryota; Metazoa; Nematoda; Chromadorea; Rhabditida; Rhabditidae.